RNAcentral lists this unclassified non-coding RNA (218 nucleotides) under uncultured Tomentella. RNAcentral's name for it is "sequence contains ITS2". The record is from RNAcentral. Lineage: Eukaryota; Fungi; Basidiomycota; Agaricomycetes; Thelephorales; Thelephoraceae.
ACACCUCAACUCUCAUGGUUUGCCAUGAUGAGCUUGGACUUUGGGGGUUUUGCUGGCCUGCUGUCAGCUCCUCUCAAAUUGAUCAGCUUGCCAGUGUUUGGUGGCGUCGCAGGUGUGAUAAUUAUCUACGCUUGUGGUUGUCUGCCAGGUAACCUUCAGCGAUGGAGGUUCGCUGGGGCUCACAAAUGUCUCUCCUAAGUGAGGACGGCUUCUUGAAU